AUACUUACCUGGCAGAGAAGACAGCACGACCCCGAAGGUGGUUUCCCAGGGUGAGGUUUGUCCAUUUCCCUCCAGAUGUGCUGACCCCUGCAAUUUCCCCAAAAGUGUGAAACCUACCUGCAUAAUGUGUGCUAGUGGAGUACAGCAUUCAUGCUUGCCCCUG
Octodon degus (degu) is the source of this 163-nucleotide small nuclear RNA. Its record names the gene U1. It matches the Rfam family "U1 spliceosomal RNA". From Rfam's summary of the family: U1 is a small nuclear RNA (snRNA) component of the spliceosome (involved in pre-mRNA splicing). NCBI's taxonomy places the organism in Eukaryota, Metazoa, Chordata, Mammalia, Rodentia, Octodontidae. The record is from Ensembl.